UAAUUACAUGUCGACUCAACUACCCUUUUCGGCGAUCUAAAACAUGACAUUGAGUCGUCAGUGGAUUCUGCUGUAGUGCUGUAAAUUUUUCGAAUCUGAAUGAUCUCAGCUCACUUGUGCUUCCCUUGCAAGAGAGAUUUUCAUAAUUUGGUAUGCAAACUGAUUCAGUCAAAGCUGUUCAUGACAUAACAAUCAGGUUUUGUAUUAAGGAAUUCUCUGUUGCAGGAGGUUGGAAUGGAAAGUAAGAGGAACUGAGGUCAUUCAGAUUGGAAAACCCCAUGUGAUACGCACCCUUCAUGAACUCAAUGAACAUCCAAGCAGCUGAAACUUAAGCAAAAUGUUAGGCCCAGGGCUGGCAGUGUGUGCAGGCUUGUGUGCUGCCUUGGCAUCUGUGAGUGCAAAGCUGGCAAUGACAGGGGAGGUGGCCCUGAGCUAUUGUAUACUGGGGCUUGACACAUAUGGUGUUAUCGCCAGCCAGGAGAUCUGCAACACUGUGAUAUACUACCUCAGGGCAUCAUUCUUUGCAAUGAUAUUCCUCUGGAAUGCACUGAUGUGGACGUUCUUUGUGAAGGCUUUACAAGGCUGCAGCAGCUCGUUGGAGGCAACAGUGACAAAUACAGCUUCCAAUUUUUUCUUCACGGCUGUAUUGGGGAGAGUUCUGUUUGGAGAGACAUUAUCCCUUGUUUGGUGUCUGGGUGCUUCUUUGAUAGUGUUGGGUCUUUUGCUGAUACAUAAAGGAAACUCUACGGAAAAGAUGGCUAAGAAGACAGAGUGAUGUUUUUGUAGGAUCAAUUCAUUAUCUGACUACAUAAAGCUAGUCUACACUGAUUACACAAAUGUUGCCAAACAAACUGUCAAGGAUGCUGCAGACCAUCCCUUCAGAGCCACAUGGUACACAACUCUAAUAGGAGGCUUUUUGUAUUCAUGGCACACCAAUCCAGAUGAACGAAGUUUUCGAAUAAAACUAAUUCAGAACACUAACGAUUUACUCGCAGUUAGCCAUCUUGUUCGGAACCCAAACAGUGAUAGGCACAUGCAGAUGUUGGCACAGGCAGUAAACCAUGAUGAACUAAGGCGGCUGAACCUGGGUAUAUGCUCAGUGAUGUAUUUGAAGGAUUAUGGUUCGGAUGUGGACCUGUAUGCCGCCCACUGUAAGUCUGUUUCCUGGAGGUGGUGGCAGUUCAAGGAUCAAAUCGUGGAUGUAGGAAUGUGGAACUACUGGUUUAGACUGACCUCCAUGAUGUCAGAAUAUGAUGUUAACCCAGAGGAGUGGAGUUGAUGAAAGAGGACACUUAUUUCUUUAGGAGAAUUGAUGUACAUGUUGCAGUUUUUCAAUUUGUUCAUAUUUUACUAGCACAUUUAUGAUUCUCUUUAAUAAACUCCUUCAAUUAAAUUUUAAAAUACUACCCCAAUAUGGUUUUUGACUGUAGCUACAAGUAUCGAGUCAGACUAAUGUGACUGGCUUCUGGUGAAAUUUGAAGACUGUAUAUUCAUCAUAUUGAAGGUUGACUGACUUAGGCCCAACCUUUUUCAAAGGCCACACUUUCAUAUACAGGGCAGGUAUACCAUAUGAAAUAUACCAAUACCAGAACCAUUUAGUGAUGUGCUGUAUUUGAAGUUAAAGCAUGGGUGUCUUUGUAUGAACAGAGCAUCGUUUCAAGUUUUUUUUAAAUAAAAAGUAAGUUGAUGGAA
Lingula anatina is the source of this 1692-nucleotide long non-coding RNA. The record is from RefSeq and is a predicted model, not a curated record. Lineage: Eukaryota; Metazoa; Brachiopoda; Lingulata; Lingulida; Lingulidae.